GCGGAAAGGGUUAACGGGCUCCGCCGCAUUGGGCUGUCCUUCAAGGGGGGAGCCAGCCAAUGAGCGCGCGCCGCGAUGAGAAGCAAGGUCUCGCUGUGUUACCCUGGCUGGAGUGCAGUGGCUACUUACAGGCAUGAUCAUAGCAUACUGCAGCCUCGAACUCCUGGACUAGAGCAGUUCUCCUGCCUCAGCCUCCAGAGCAGCUGGGACUGCAGACACGCACCACAGAGCCCAGCCUGAGUCAUUUUGAUUCUGUAACUGGCUUCCUCUCGGCGGGCAGGCUCACACCCUCCACCCCCAGCUGGAGAUGGAAGGAGGAUGCUCACCGCCCAUUCCUCAUGCAGGCCAUCGAUGG
This 355-nucleotide long non-coding RNA is filed under the name Homo sapiens (human). RNAcentral describes it as "non-protein coding LINC00963:28". The record is from RNAcentral. Lineage: Eukaryota; Metazoa; Chordata; Mammalia; Primates; Hominidae.